GUUACAUAAGUGUGCCAUAUUCAGAUAUUCCAAUCCUGCGGAUGGUAGCAAAACUGCAUGGAAUACUGAAACCAUUUCUACUUCGGAGAAUGAAAUCUGAUGUCGAGCUAAUGCUCCCUCGGAAGAAAGAAAUCAUAAUAUAUUGGUUAUGAUUGAAGGAAGUUCACUUUGGGAAAUUGAUAGUCUUCGACACCAUUAUUGUCCUCCUGUUUCAAGGUUAGUUUUAUGCCUAGUAUCCCCGUACAAUCAAGUGUGUGAAGUGUUCAAGAGAGAGGUUGGCAUGACACCGGAUAAG
This is a non-coding RNA of Benincasa hispida (wax gourd), 295 nucleotides long. The record is from RefSeq and is a predicted model, not a curated record. NCBI's taxonomy places the organism in Eukaryota, Viridiplantae, Streptophyta, Magnoliopsida, Cucurbitales, Cucurbitaceae.